GGCGACCGGCGCACGGGUGAGUAACGCGUAUGCAACUUGCCUAUCAGAGGGGGAUAACCCGGCGAAAGUCGGACUAAUACCGCAUGAAGCAGGGGCCCCGCAUGGGGAUAUUUGCUAAAGAUUCAUCGCUGAUAGAUAGGCAUGCGUUCCAUUAGGCAGUUGGCGGGGUAACGGCCCACCAAACCGACGAUGGAUAGGGGUUCUGAGAGGAAGGUCCCCCACAUUGGUACUGAGACACGGACCAAACUCCUACGGGAGGCAGCAGUGAGGAAUAUUGGUCAAUGGGCGUAAGCCUGAACCAGCCAAGUCGCGUGAGGGAUGAAGGUUCUAUGGAUCGUAAACCUCUUUUAUAAGGGAAUAAAGUGCGGGACGUGUCCCGUUUUGUAUGUACCUUAUGAAUAAGGAUCGGCUAACUCCGUGCCAGCAGCCGCGGUAAUACGGAGGAUCCGAGCGUUAUCCGGAUUUAUUGGGUUUAAAGGGUGCGUAGGCGGCCUUUUAAGUCAGCGGUGAAAGUCUGUGGCUCAACCAUAGAAUUGCCGUUGAAACUGGGGGGCUUGAGUAUGUUUGAGGCAGGCGGAAUGCGUGGUGUAGCGGUGAAAUGCUUAGAUAUCACGCAGAACCCCGAUUGCGAAGGCAGCCUGCCAAGCCAUGACUGACGCUGAUGCACGAAAGCGUGGGGAUCAAACAGGAUUAGAUACCCUGGUAGUCCACGCAGUAAACGAUGAUCACUAGCUGUUUGCGAUACAGUGUAAGCGGCACAGCGAAAGCGUUAAGUGAUCCACCUGGGGAGUACGCCGGCAACGGUGAAACUCAAAGGAAUUGACGGGGGCCCGCACAAGCGGAGGAACAUGUGGUUUAAUUCGAUGAUACGCGAGGAACCUUACCCGGGUUUGAACGCAUUUCGACCGCUCUGGAAACAGAGCCUCUAGCAAUAGCGAUUUGCGAGGUGCUGCAUGGUUGUCGUCAGCUCGUGCCGUGAGGUGUCGGCUUAAGUGCCAUAACGAGCGCAACCCUUGCCACUAGUUACUAACAGGUGAUGCUGAGGACUCUGGUGGGACUGCCAGCGUAAGCUGCGAGGAAGGCGGGGAUGACGUCAAAUCAGCACGGCCCUUACAUCCGGGGCGACACACGUGUUACAAUGGCGUGGACAAAGGGAAGCCACCUGGCGACAGGGAGCGAAUCCCCAAACCACGUCUCAGUUCGGAUCGGAGUCUGCAACCCGACUCCGUGAAGCUGGAUUCGCUAGUAAUCGCGCAUCAGCCA
This 1263-nucleotide ribosomal RNA is filed under the name human gut metagenome. Its description in RNAcentral is "bacterial SSU rRNA". It matches the Rfam family "Bacterial small subunit ribosomal RNA", at positions 90 to 1354 of the family's 1533-position model. The record is from RNAcentral.